GGGACUUGACAAUGCGCCCCUUCUGUAGCGCGGGGCCCGCCCUCGCGCGUCGCGCUUCCUCCCCGGCGCUCCCGGCUGCACGUGCUGACCCCGCCGCCGCCCUUGCCAGACAAAGCGGGACCCUCCUGGGAGAAUUUCCUUGGCGCCCCCCUUCACUCGAUGGACCCUUUGAUUUCCUCCCACUCUCGUCUUCAUCCCUCACUCGUCCCACCCCUCACAGCUGCCUCCUGGAGUGCCUUCUCUUUUGUGCUCACCAGCUCAAGUUUGGCCCUCACUUCAGAGCUUUGCCUUAAAAAAAACUCCAUUUGACCUUGCCCCUCCCGCACUCUGUCAUCUCCUUUGCUAACUUAAUGCUUUUGUUAUGAGGGCGACUGCUCUGUCUUACCUUUUCUGUUGUCCGCUGGCUCCCCUACCUAACACAGUUUACUUUCUGUCCUCAGCCUUUUCAAGACUUCCAGAAACCCUCUUGACAUCUCUGCUUCUUUCCCAGUUUCCUUUCUGCCUCUUUCUCUCAAGAGGACUGUGGACAGUGGAAGGGAGAUUGCAAAUGGCUACCCAGAUUAAGCCCCCUUUGUAUCUCGCUGACACCACCCUUUUUUCUGCGACCUGAAAUCGCAUUACUUGGGUACCAUGGGUGAUGCUCUGGUGGGAGUGUGGGAGUUCUGCUGCUGCCGCCGCAAUUACCUGUCUCUUUGAUUGUAAGCUUAAGUAAAGGAAACUUCUGGGAACUGGCCAAAGACCCUUGAAAUGCAACUUGAGGAGUAAACGUCUCUGCUUGGUCACUCUCUGCUUCAGCUCUGCAAACUCAAGCCCAAGGUCAUCCCAGAAUCAAGGUUCUGCUGCCAUCUCCCAGAACCCUAGCUGGGACUGCCUGCCUGAACCUGAAGGGGACCAUCAGAAGCUUUGGGGAGCAUAUUAAAGGCAGAGCUCCGGACGCGCAGGCUCAGCGGCCAUGGCUCACGGG
Molecule: non-coding RNA, 964 nt
Organism: Delphinapterus leucas (beluga whale)
Lineage: Eukaryota; Metazoa; Chordata; Mammalia; Artiodactyla; Monodontidae
Source: RefSeq, a predicted model, not a curated record